RNAcentral lists this ribosomal RNA (253 nucleotides) under uncultured bacterium. Its description in RNAcentral is "partial 16S ribosomal RNA". It matches the Rfam family "Bacterial small subunit ribosomal RNA", at positions 524 to 776 of the family's 1533-position model. The record is from RNAcentral.
UACGGGGGGGGCAAGCGUUGUUCGGAAUUACUGGGCGUAAAGGGCUUGUAGGUGGCCAACUAAGUCAGACGUGAAAUCCCUCGGCUUAACCGGGGAACUGCGUCUGAUACUGGAUGGCUGGAGUGUGGGAGAGGGAUGCGGAAUUCCAGGUGUAGCGGUGAAAUGCGUAGAUAUCUGGAGGAACACCGGUGGCGAAGGCGGCAUCCUGGACCAUUACUGACACUGAAAAGCGAAAGCCAGGGGAGUAAACGGG